UACGGGGAGGGCGUGUGUUAUUCAGCGUUACUGGGCGUAAAGGGCAUCUAGGCUGUUUAAUAAGUUCUUUGUAAAAGCUUAUGGCUUAACCGUAAAAGAUAUAAAGAAUACUGUUGAACUUGAGUAUAGAGGAAGAUAGCGAUACUUUUAAAGGAGAGGUAGAAUGCUGCGAUAAUAAAAGGGUCAUCAACUAGCGAAGGCGGCUAUCUAUUUUAUUACUGACGCUGACGUGCGAAAGCGUGGGUAGCAAACAGG
RNAcentral lists this ribosomal RNA (255 nucleotides) under uncultured bacterium. RNAcentral describes it as "partial 16S ribosomal RNA". It matches the Rfam family "Bacterial small subunit ribosomal RNA", at positions 524 to 776 of the family's 1533-position model. The record is from RNAcentral.